This 3879-nucleotide long non-coding RNA is filed under the name Nicotiana tabacum (common tobacco). RNAcentral describes it as "long non-coding RNA (NTAB_LNC019036)". Lineage: Eukaryota; Viridiplantae; Streptophyta; Magnoliopsida; Solanales; Solanaceae. The record is from RNAcentral.
UAAUCUUUCACUUAUCUGAUUCGUUCAAUUAGGGAUUAGCCGAUUAGGGAAUUAGAAUUUAGAAAGGGAGAAAGACAGAACGUCAGAAACGACGAUAGUUUCUUUCAGCGAGAAGACCUUUGCUGUGAGAAUACUAACAAUAUAUAAUCUUAGAAGUUAUGGAUGGUUACCCCUGCUUAAUCUUCAUUUUUUUGUGCUUUACAGAUAUCCUGUUGAUGAAGCUGCCACUGUGGCUAUAUCUACUGUCAAAGAAUUUGGCAGUGACCUCAAAGAGGUAUUAUCUGCUUAUGAAUUUUGGUUUGCUCAGAGCUUGAUUGCAAUAUAGGUCACAUAUCUGUUGAGACUAAAAUACUUCAUAGUGUUCUUAUCUUAUGUUGGUGAAAUUGUUCGCCUGAAGUUGAUAAUGGUGGAUGUGGCUCAACUGUUACUAAUAGUAUGUUGGCAUCUUGUUCCUAGUUUUUGUUUUCUUUUUGCUGAUAAAUGUAUAUAUGUAAUUACUAGCGUCUUAAUAGUACCCAAGAAAGUGAUUGUAUAUAAUGAUUUGUGAAGGCUUAAGACCUCCAUGAAGCAGCCUGAGCCUCGCCCUUUACUGCAUACUAUUCUGAUUGAGACGAACAAUUUAAUAACUUAAAUAGUUAAAUGUCAUAGUAAAACAUAAUGUUUAUAGCCUUGUAAUAUAAAAGUCACAUGGUCUGAAUUUUCUCCUGUAACUUCAACUCUAUGUAUUUCCCGUGUACUGGUCUUAACAACUUUCUUAUAUACUUUAGUAUGAUUGCACAUUUGGAACUUGGAAAUUCUUUUCAUUCGCUAUGAUCUUACGUGGAAGUUCUGGAACAGCUUGUGUGCUCUUAGUUCAACUUUUAUUCCCUUAAAACUAGAAGCUGUAGAAUCUGCAGAAUUGAAUAUAAAAGAGCCAUGUCUAGAUGUUGAAACACUGCAAUUGCUUGAGUAAUUAGAAGAUGCAGAAUCUGCAGGCGUCAGCUGCACUCCUUAGAAUUGUGAAUUGUCAAAGAAAAUAAUGGUGCUUAACUACUUACUGUUAGCGACAACGUUGUCAAAGAGGGCUAACCAAGUUAGUUUGAAUUAUGCACUGUUGCACUCCUUAGUCCUUAAUCAUUAGUUUUGCUUAUUUAGCGAUUAUUAAAUCGAAACCGUACCGAACCAAAAUAAGAAAUACCGAACCGUACCGAAAUAAUUUGGUACAGUAUUUGGUAUACACAAUUGAUAAAUCGAAUACCGAAAUACCGAACCGAAAUUCAUAAAUACCGAACCGAAAUACCGAAUGCCCACCCCUAGGUUUCGGCGUUAUUUGUGGAAUUUUAAAGUUUAAAAGUUCUUCAGGCUUGAAUCCAGGUGUAAUUGGUGUUUUGAUGUUGUCUUGAGUGAUUCAAAGGUUCGACUAAGUUCGCAUAGGGUUAUAUAACUUGUUGGUAUGAUUGGUUGAGGUCCCGGAGGCCUCAGGUUUAUUUCGGGUGGUUAACGGCUUGAUGGGAGUUGAGGAAUUGCAGCUGAAGCUGCUGCUACUGGUGUAACCGCACCUGCGGAGUGGGAACCACAGGUGUGAGCCCGUAGUAGCGAAGGAGGAGCCGCAUAUGCGGCUAAGGAGGAUCUGGGAAAAGGACGCAUGUGCGAUGAAAUUCCCGCACAUGCGAUGGCCGUAAAAGCAGAUUUAGGGGCGCAUGUGCGAGUUUGGACCGCAUAUGCGAUGUAGUUCCCGCACCCGCGAAGAGCGCAGAUGCGGUCACUUGACCGUAGGAGCGGAGGCAAUGUGUAGGGAUUUUUCCACAGAAGCGUGGCCUUGCCCGCAGAUGCGGCUCCGCAGAUGUGGAAAUGGAGCCGCAGGUGCGAGAAGUCUGGGCAGAACCUAUAAAUACAACACUUUGAGAUUUUUCACCAUUUUCAUCAUUUUUGAGCUCGAAAUUUGGGGAUUUUGAGAGAGAUUUCGGAGUAAUCACUGAGGUAAGUUCCUUGUGCCUAUUUAUCUUCAAUAAUGGUGUUUCCCUACUGAUUUUUCACCUAGUUGGUGAGUGUUUGAGGUGAGAUUUGGGACAUUAGGGCUUGGGAAUUGGAGAGUGACUUUUGGGGUUUUGGAGGGGCAAUUGAGGUCAGAUUUUGAUAAAUUUGGUAUGGUUAGACUCAUGAGUGAAUGAGCUCUCGGGUUUUGUGACUUUCAUUAGGUUUCGAGACGUGGGCCCGAUUGAGUCGAUUUUGAAUUUUGGGCUAUAUUUUAGUAGUUUUCUCGUGUAAUUGAUCCUUUUAACCAAUAUUUAUUAUCUCGUACUAUUUGUGGCUAGAUUCAGGGCAUUUGGAGGCCGAUUCGAGAGGCAAAGGCAUUUCGGAGUAGGAUUUCUGUGCGGUUGAAGUAAGUAACAGUCUUAAAUCUGGUUUUGAGGGUAUGAAACCCCGAGAAUUGGUAUAAUGUGAAUAUUUGGAGGUCACGCACAUGCUAGGUGACGAGUGUGCGAGCGUGCACCGUGAGGGAUUGUGACUUGGUCCGUCCCGUUAGAGUAUAAAGUCGAAUAGCCAUUGUUAUUACUUGUUUUCCUUGUGUUUGAGCAAUUGACUGCCUUUCAUGUUUGAAACCAUGCUUAGGCCAUAUGAUAUCACUUUUGGGACCCGCAGCGGUCGUAUACUUGUUGAAUUGACUGCUAAUUGUUGUCUUGUACCCAGUCAGUCUUACUUGUGUGUUAUAUCUCUGUUUCCUCUCAUUUCAUGUUGAUACUUAUUGUAUUCUCUGCUUGGACUGGUUAUUAUGAUAUUUUGUGAGCCCGAGGGGCUGGAGAGGUUAGUGACUGAGAUAGGGCUUGAGUGCCGAGCUGCGAGCUGUGAAGUAUAUGGAUCGGGUUGCACGCCGCAAUAAUAUUGGAUCGGGUUUCACGCCGCAACAAUAUUGGACCGGGUUGCAUGCCGCAAUAAUAUUGGAUUGGGCUGCGCAUCGUAGUAAUAUAGCGCUUGGGCUGAAGGAGCCCCUUCGGAGUCUAUACACCCUCAAUGAGCGCAUAUACCUAUUGAGAGUGUGUAUUGAGGGCCGAGAGCCGAGAGUAUGAGCUGUUGAGAUGAGUUGAGUGACUGCUUCCUUGAGAGGUUGUACUUGCUUUUAUUUAUUAUUGCACUUAGUUGCUAUCUGAUGUUGUUGUAAAAUUUCUGGAAGAUUCAUAUCUGUUUUACUUGAGCUCGAACUGAUUUGACUUAUACCACCGAAUUUGAAAAUAUGUUCACUCUUUACUGAAAACUUUUGAAAUGAUCUGUAUUAUUAUAGUUCGUCACUGUUUCUCAGUUCCUUAUUUAAUUCUGUUACUUGCUGAGUUGGUUGUACUCAUGCUACACCAUUUACUUCAUGUGCAGAUCCAGGUGUGUACGGUUCUGGCGGUCGCUGAGUUCGUGCGUGUGCUGAUUAUCGGAGACUUACGAGGUAGCUGCCGGCGUCCGCAAUCCUUGUUUCUCCUUUCUUAUUAUCUUUUCUCUCUUGUAUUGGCAUUUGGCACAGACUGUAGUAGACUCUGUUUCUAUAUUGGUUAUUAGAUACACAUGACUUAGGGAUACCUCGAUGUCGGGCUAUCAUUCCGCACUUAUGUUUUGGGGGUUUUCCCGGUUAUUGUGUAAACCUUCAGUUAGUUUAAUUUCUUUAGCUCACUUCUGUUAUAUAUUGAAAGCAUAUUGAGAAUGUCGGCUUGCCUAGUUCCACGAUAGGCGCCAUCACGACUGAUUUGGUAUUUGGGUCGUGACAUAAAUUGUGUAGAGAUUUUUUUAUUUCGAAAUUGUUCGAUGUUAGUAAACAUUGUCGUUAUUUCAGUUAAUGUUAGACUUACCUAGUUUUAGAUACUAGGUUCCAUCACGACUCCUUUGGAGGGAUUUUGGGUUGUGACAAGUUGGUAUCAG